This 210-nucleotide long non-coding RNA is filed under the name Elaeis guineensis (African oil palm). Its description in RNAcentral is "long non-coding RNA (EGUI_LNC026352)". The record is from RNAcentral. Lineage: Eukaryota; Viridiplantae; Streptophyta; Magnoliopsida; Arecales; Arecaceae.
CUUAUCUGGAAGUCUUUUUCACCUAGAUUUUUUACUAUUUAAAUUUGAUUCAAAAUAGAAUAGAAAUCUCUUAGAUUAGGGUGUGGAAGCUUUUUUUGUGUGACAAAAAAAAUUAGGGAAAGCUAGAUGUGCAUUAAUUGUGAGUUUUUGAUUUCUUUCUUGAAAUGCAACAUUAUCUCCACCUUUUUCAAUUUUUGUUUUGCUUUCAAU